Long non-coding RNA from Gasterosteus aculeatus aculeatus (three-spined stickleback), 2898 nucleotides. Lineage: Eukaryota; Metazoa; Chordata; Actinopteri; Perciformes; Gasterosteidae. The record is from Ensembl.
CUGAUGGCUCUGGCUUCUGUUGCAGCAUUAGCUUGAUUAGUGUAUUCUGGAACAUUUUCUUGAACAUUUUCAUGAUCUGGCUCUCUUGCCUCGAGUUCUUCUAUACAUUCCAACCUUUCCACUUCAGAUUCUGGAGCCAGAUUGCACCAUUCAUCAAUCACUCCUCUGUUCUGUUCAAAUUCUUCCACUGCAUUCUCAAUGUCCUCGCUGUUUUUCUCAUAUUUGUCUUUGUUUCGUUUCACAAUGUGACGGACAUACUCAGGAUGGUCAGAACCUGGUAGUUGGACACAACCACUCUUGUAGAAGGACUCGUACGUGGGGAAAUGCCGUCUUUUCAGUUCCAGGUCUGAUCGGUGAGGAAUGUACAGUUUCAGUAAUGUGCCAUAGAACUUCUCUGGAUAUUUUUCCUGUGAGCAGCGACAAUUCUGCAAGUUGCUGCGAAAUCUGCCAAACACAUCUGCUCAAACUCUGGUGUUUCUGGUCUGGAUUUGUAUUUGUCAGUCAAAGACGUCAUCCACACAUUUACACUUUCUAAUGUUGUGUUCUCCAGAGUACGCCUGCAUGAUUUCCCUCAUUUCAUCACAUUCAUUGACGUGGUCUUUGGUGGAGUUUUCAAUGACUGUUUUGAGGAAGCGUUGUCGUGGCAACGUGAUGAUGGAUGAAAGCUUCUGAAUGUCGGGCCUGCAGACAGAAGGCAGCAACUCCCAAUGAAUCCACUUCCUCCUUAUAGAUGGCUUUGUUUUAUUUCAGUAUGAACAAAGUGAAACAACUAAACACACAAAUACACUGAAUGUUUGAAAUAAUGUACGUUUAUACAGGAAAUUGUUAUUACAGAUUUCUAGAGUACUGCUACCAAAACAAAGCUUUGGGUACAAACCAGCGGAGCUCCAAAGCAACAACGAUCAGGAAAUUAACUAUUCCUUUUAUAUGAUAUAGACUUUUACUACAAUUGUUUUUAUGUAAAGUAACAAGGGAGCAACUUUCUUGAAUUAUGUUAAUGUAAUGAUUUACUCGAAAUAUAUAUUUGAAAAUGUACCAUUCAAUUCUAAAUGAUAAAAGGUACUUUUUAUCAAUUACAACAAAAUAUGUAGGUUAUGUGUGGUUUCUUUCAGUUUCUGAAUUAACUUUUCAGUUUUGUUUAACCAAUGUGUUGGGAAAAAGUCUCGGAAAUAGUAUAAAUGCUUUGUCCGAGUUGCAAAAACAGCAAUAGUGUUCUAGAGAUAAGUGUAUAAGUUGUAGAUAGGAGAGGUAAGAGGUGAGGGUGAGAGAAGAGAGUCUCUCAGAGUAUUCAAGUCAGAUAGAUUAGGUACCAGUAACCCAAGUCGAGCCAACAGAGCUUAGUCCAAAAUUCAGUUCAGUUCAGAGAAAGGUUUCCAGAGUUUGUUCCAUUCCAUUGCCAAAGAUUACCAACGUGAGAGUGGGAUAGAGGGGGACACAAAGUGUGAGUUGCCAUAUGCAAAAGACAGAGCGGUAGAUGUGACAGGAUAGAUAGAGAGCCAACUUGUAGACAGAGUGGAUACAAGGUACAGGAUAGAUAGAGAGCCAACUUGUAGACAGAGUGGAUACAAGGUAUAGGAGAGAUAGAGAGCCAACGUGAUAGAGGAGAGAUGCUGCACAGCAGGACACCUGGAAGACACAAUACAAAGACACUUUAGACAGCAGUUUGAAGAUCAAUUUAAGGAACAUCUAAAUGACCAGAAUAUCAACCAUUCUACCUCGAUAAUACCUCACUUAUUUAUAUGAAAAACAAUGUUGACCAUAAAUGGAUCAUUGAGUAGACUGGUUCAGAUGUCUCACAGCUUGCGUCUCUCUCCCAAGUUGUUUCACAGCGUCGCUGCUGCCACCUCUCCUUUUACAGGGUUUGCCUUUCAUGAUUACCAGUUUUCAUUUUAUUCUGAAGUAUUGUUUAUAUAAAUCAUCUUAUUUAUUUUAAAUAUAAAAUGUUUUAUUUAUUUUAAAUAUAAAAUGUUUAAGAAGCAUUGGAGUUUAUUCAUAAGAUGUUAACAAUCCACAAUUAAAAGAUGAUACUCUGAAUUCAUGGAGCCGUGAGAGUCACUGCCUUCUUGUGUUCACUGUUCUGAAACUAUUUCAGAAUAAAAGCCUUUUGUUAAUAAGGGGAUUCCUGGACAGGAAUCUCGAAAAGAGACUCAGACUCACACAGGAGGUGCGGCUUGGAGUUUUUCAUAACAACUUCACCAUGUGUUUUAACAAAGUGUAUUCAGUUUUCACUCAUGUGUGAACUUACUGUGAAGUCACCAGCAGUGAUGGUCUGUAGUUAAAGACAGAGAGGAAACAAGAAGAGUCGGGAGAGAAAUACAUUACAUUUACAUUCUUCUCAGAAAACCAGUGCAUCACAUCCCAUUUGACUCCAGAACUGUUCUUACGGUCGGGUGAUUAUUGUUACGUACAGAUAAGACAGAUUAUUAUGAUGGGAGGACAUUUAAAAGCCAAUGUAAUAUCAAUUUACUUAUAGCAUUAACAUUAACAAUGUGUAUGAACUUACACUUCAGAGUCAGCCUGCAGGAGAGGAAGGAGGUGAGGGAUGAAAAGAGAGAAAAAGACAUUUUCAAUUCACUUCAGAAAACCAACCUAAAGCUCAUUUUAAGUACUUUCAGGUUCCUUAUUUAUUAUCAAUGUAUAAUUUAAAAUGGACAUAGAAGUGUGUGUGUGACUGUGGGGAUACCGACUGUUGUCAACAACAUACAAUCGUAUCCCUUCAAUAUGUGUUAUUGCCUGUCAAGGACUUUAAGAAAUGCAGCUGGUUCUAUAGCAUAGGACACAACAUUAACGCUGCCACCAUCAAUUAUUAGUUACAGAUUAUGCAAGCUUUUUAAAUGUUAAUGUUUUCUGAUUGAACAGAUCGGAUUUCUGGCUAAAACAAUACAUCCACAAUAGAAA